RNAcentral lists this long non-coding RNA (2638 nucleotides) under Lactuca sativa (garden lettuce). RNAcentral's name for it is "long non-coding RNA (LSAT_LNC006016)". Lineage: Eukaryota; Viridiplantae; Streptophyta; Magnoliopsida; Asterales; Asteraceae. The record is from RNAcentral.
CAAAACCUAUCCAAAUCUUAUCCAAACAACUUUCUCCCAAAUCCUAUCCAUGAACUUAUGGAAUGGAGUGGUUGGGAACAAGCUUACAAAAGCUUUUAAAAUUUUUUAUUUUUUAAAAAAUUUUAAAAGAUAAUCCAAAAGCUACUUCAAUAGUUUUUUUCAGAGUUUUAACUUUUAGUUUUCAUGUCUUUAUGAAAUUUUAUAGCUUUCAAAAGCUAACAUUACUUUUGUCAAACACUUCUACAUAAAACUUAAAAGAAGCUACCAUUUUAUGCCACCAUGGCUUCCAAUUUUUGCAACCAUUUUAUGUACUGAUUUUGCUCCUUUUUGUGUAAGUGGAGAAGGAGGAAGUUGGUGAGGCUUUUCCCUAUUCCUCUUGAUAUUAGGUACUGCUUCAGCUCUUGUUGCAAACCAAGGUCUAAGUUCCUAAAAUAAAUAAUGAAUUUAUCAAAAUUAACCAAAUUUAAAUUAUUUCUUAAACCUAGAACUUAACAAGUAUGUUGCGAUUAUGAGUAAAGAAUAAAGUACAUUUUCUAUAUUGAUAAGGAAAGUAAAAACAUACCUGAACAGGGGGCCUCUGUAGACUGAGGAACUGAAAUCAGUAGGCAACUUCAAAUAAUAUGCAUUUUGAAUAUGAAAGUCAAUUCUAUCUUGACCUUGGUCCAAAACUUUACAAUCAAACUGCAGUAUUGAGGUCAAUCCUGUCUUUUUGAUGCACACCUUCANUACUUGUCAAUCAUUUAAUUCUUCAUUUCAAAUUUAUUAGACCUCCUAAUUAAUGUGAUGUUACUUGUCAAUCUAUUUAUUUUUCAUUUUAAAUUUUAUAUUAUUGUUUACAUUAAUUCACAAAUAAAAGUUAUUCGAUAUAAAUUAAAAAUUAAUUUCACAUAUUUAUUUGAAUCAACGAAUAUAAUUUUACAUAACUAAUAAAAAUAUCUCUUAAUUAAUAAUUUAUUUAAAAUAAUUGAUUAACAAUUUUGAAUUUUUACAAUAAAAUUUUAAUUAAUUUUGUAACCGUGGUUCCCACGGGUUAUAAACUAGUCUAUAACAAAUGAAUGUUUUUUUUGCCACUUGUCAUCCUCUCAUUUCAAUUUGUCAAAUAUCAUUUUUUGGUAAUUUUGAAUUAUUUUUUUUCCAUAUGUCAUUUUAUAAGUUUUUUCUAUUUUAUUAAAUUUCAUAUAAUAUUUUAAUGUAAUAAUUACAAUAAAUAUAGUAUUAAAUGGAUAUUAAUUUCAUUAAUAAACAUAUCUUUUAAUUUCAAAAUUUCCAAAAUUAAAGUUUAUUAGUUUCUUUUCUUUAUUUAAAUUAUUUGUUUAAAUUUUAAAGAUAAAAAAUAUUUCUAUUAUAAUGAUUCAUUAUUUUUUUUAUUUUUUUAUAAAUUCAAUGUUUUCAAAUAUUUUGACAUUUAUAUUAAAAAAAAUUUUAAAUUAAUCCAUGUAUAAUUAGUUUAAGUCAUAAACCAAACUUCAUGUUCUUAUACCACUAACAUGUUAAUAUUAUUUAGCAUCAUAUAUUUUCAAAAGGUGUCAUCUAUUAACAUUCAUUUUAGACCAUUUGUAUUAUUGAAAAAAAAAAUUGAAAAUAUGAUUUAUUAGCAUGUUACCUCCAAUAACCAGUUAGAUAGUCCUAAUAAAUGUUUUAGCCAUCAACGCUAUUAUGACCAAUUCGUUUAAAUAUUAUGUAUUUUAAAAUUUUAAUAUUUUGGAAUUAGUUCUAAGGAUUACCCGACGGCUAACGGCUACAAAAAAAAAUAGGAACCAGAACCAGAUACAGUAAUUGUCGGUUCUCAUUUUUAGGAACCGGAACCUAAACCAAUGACCUAGGUCCGGUUCUAGAACCAACGGUUUCAAUUCCAAAAACAAAUACCCGCUAUUUGUGGUCACCCCUAAAUUAGUAAGUCCCUACUAUGAUACUAUUUGAAUCUAUUUCAUUUUUUGUAUUUUUCUUUUUCAAAAUUUUAUUCUAAUUUAGUAAAAACAAACAUUUUCUUAAAAUUUCAUCAUUUGUUUUUCGGAACACUAAAAUUAAAAUUCACCAUUUAUCACUUCCAAUAAGGAUUUUAUCGCCGACUUAAUACUAGUAAAAUUGAGUUUAAUAGUCAUUUUCAAUGUCAACCGAAAUGUCACCUCUGAUUUUAUCACUUCCUUUAAGGUUCACUUCCUAUGGUCACAAACUUGUACUGUUUGACAUGUACAAAUCAAUAUUAUAUUACUCCCAAAACCUAUCCAAAUCUUAUCCAAACAACUUUCUCCCAAAUCCUAUCCAUGAACUUAUGGAAUGGAGUGGUUGGGAACAAGCUUACAAAAGCUUUUAAAAUUUUUUAUUUUUUAAAAAAUUUUAAAAGAUAAUCCAAAAGCUACUUCAAUAGUUUUUUUCAGAGUUUUAACUUUUAGUUUUCAUGUCUUUAUGAAAUUUUAUAGCUUUCAAAAGCUAACAUUACUUUUGUCAAACACUUCUACAUAAAACUUAAAAGAAGCUACCAUUUUAUGCCACCAUGGCUUCCAAUUUUUGCAACCAUUUUAUGUACUGAUUUUGCUCCUUUUUGUGUAAGUGGAGAAGGAGGAAGUUGGUGAGGCUUUUCCCUAUUCCUCUUGAUAUUAGGUACUGCUUCAGCUCUUGUUGCAAACCAAGGUCUAAG